RNAcentral lists this ribosomal RNA (481 nucleotides) under uncultured bacterium. RNAcentral's name for it is "partial 16S ribosomal RNA". It matches the Rfam family "Bacterial small subunit ribosomal RNA", at positions 30 to 507 of the family's 1533-position model. The record is from RNAcentral.
UUGAACGCUGGCGGCAUGCCUUACACAUGCCAGUCGAACGGUAACAGGUCUUCGGACGCUGCCGAGUGGCGAACGGGUGAGUAAUGCAUCGGAACGUGCCCAGUCGUGGGGGAUAACUGCUCGAAAGAGCAGCUAAUACCGCAUACGACCUGAGGGUGAAAGCGGGGGACCGUAAGGCCUCGCGCGAUUGGAGCGGCCGAUGUCAGAUUAGCUAGUUGGUGGGGUAAAGGCCUACCAAGGCAACGAUCUGUAGUUGGUCUGAGAGGACGACCAGCCACACUGGGACUGAGACACGGCCCAGACUCCUACGGGAGGCAGCAGUGGGGAAUUUUGGACAAUGGGCGCAAGCCUGAUCCAGCAAUGCCGCGUGCAGGAAGAAGGCCUUCGGGUUGUAAACUGCUUUUGUCAGGGAAGAAAUCUUCUGGGCUAAUACCCCGGGAGGAUGACGGUACCUGAAGAAUAAGCACCGGCUAACUACGUG